UAGCUUAGAUGGUAAAGAAUCUGCCUGCAAUGCAGGAGUCCCAGGUUCGAUCCCUGG
This 57-nucleotide transfer RNA is filed under the name Ovis aries (sheep). It matches the Rfam family "tRNA", at positions 8 to 63 of the family's 71-position model. From Rfam's summary of the family: Transfer RNA (tRNA) molecules are approximately 80 nucleotides in length. Their secondary structure includes four short double-helical elements and three loops (D, anti-codon, and T loops). The record is from Rfam by way of RNAcentral. Lineage: Eukaryota; Metazoa; Chordata; Mammalia; Artiodactyla; Bovidae.